RNAcentral lists this long non-coding RNA (952 nucleotides) under Musa acuminata (dwarf banana). Its description in RNAcentral is "long non-coding RNA (MACU_LNC005404)". The record is from RNAcentral. Lineage: Eukaryota; Viridiplantae; Streptophyta; Magnoliopsida; Zingiberales; Musaceae.
GAUUUCUGGCAGAAUUCAAGAGGCACAUUGAACAAAUGAUUCAAACUAUCAAUCGUGCUCCAAUUUACUCAGAAAUAUAUCAUUGGAAAGAUAUUUCAAUCUACUUUCAGAUAAAACAAGCUUCAUAUGAAUUGAACUGUCCAACAGAGAGUUACAAAUAAUUUGGUAAACAAGGGUCGGAGAACAAAAUCUCUGUUUGGCAGAAUUCAUAAGGUCAGAUUCAACAGAUAACUGAGCAGGUGUUUGGACUCCAAAAUUUUCAAUCCAUAUAUCAAAAGAAAGAUCUACGAGUCUAGUUUCUAAUGAAAUCAGUUUUGAACAAAUCGGAGUUUCCAAAAUCGACUUAUAGGCAGCUCGGUAUCAAAAGGUCAGAAAUUACAAUCCCUGUUUUGUAGAAUAUCUAGGCUCAUUUGAAACAGAAGUUUGGGCAGGCACACUUACUCCGAAUUCUUAAAAUAAGCUAUCAAAACAAAGGUUUGUGAGUCUAUAUUCUGAUCAAAUAAGUUUUGUCCAAAUCAGAGGUCAACACAUGAAGUUAUAACCAUAACAAGGUAGAAAGGUCAGAAUCUCAGAAGUUGCACAGAUUCGAAUCGUUACGUUUAAACAGGAGAUAUAUCAAAUGCAAGGCUAGAACAAUUCAAAGUUCCUCAUAUUCAAAGCAAAUGUAGAGAUAAAAUUGCAGUAAGGAAAGAUCAAGGUACUUGCAAUAGGAAAGAUUAGAAAGCUUGCAAUAGGAAGGAUCGGAACACUUGCCUUUCAAAGAUUUUGAUCCGAAGAUCCAAAGAAGGUGUCAACCCAAAUCCUUCUACUUUUCCUCCGUGUCCUCUCCCUGUUUCGUGUUCUACAUAUGUCUUCUCUUUUUCCUCCACAACUGUAGCUCAUGCAGAACAUAGAGGCAUAGUCACCUGCUCUCUCUUACUCUCAUUCCUUCGUUUUCUUUUUCAAACGCAGU